AAACCUUAACACUUGCUGUCACUCAUGCUAACUUCUUUCUUAUUGAAACAGCCUAUUUGUAUACAGUAUCUUAUCAUUUUGUGAAUCAAAACAGAAGAAUGAUAUUAGGAAGAAAGUCCUGUUAACAACUCACUGUUGGGCAAGUGAGCCGUCUCAGGCUCUGAAUUCCUCUGUCUCUGCGAUGGUGAUAACAACUUGGGCCUCGAGGUCUUAGCACCCUGAAGACAUGGACAAACACUUCUCAUCUUUCUGAUUCUUGGUUUAGCACAGAGCUGUGGGUCACUCACAGCUUGUGACAAAAACACUGCUAAUUGUAUAGCUGGUGCCAGGGGCACUGUGGAGUCGCUGAGGAAGUCGCUGUUAGCUACUGAUUAUUCUCCAGAGAGGCUGCAUGCCAUCCUGCAAGAAUGCAGGCUGAUGCCUUGAAGUUCUUCCACCGACAAGGUGCACAGCCUGGGGCCAACUAUUUUAACUGCAGCCUUCUCAGCUGUGAAAAAUGAGAACAACGAUCCUCACGGCUUUAGAAGAGAGUUGUGUUUAUUAAUUAGUCUGUAUUUCAAAGUGCUUCACAACUGGAAAGUUUCACGAUUGCAUAAAGGAAGAUUCCCUUUCAUUUUAUCCCCCAUCACAUUAGGAUGAAAAGAAACUGUGCUCACUGAGGCUGUGAGAAAAAUGGAGGGGAUUCAGGCAAAAAAGCUAACAAACCUGACUUCCGAAGGUAGUGGCUCAUUUCCCUGACUGUAAGAUGACACCCAUUAAAGGGAACUUUUGUAAAUUAGGUAUCUCAAAGGGCAGCCAAACCUGCUCUCUGAAGAACUGCUUUUCUU
Molecule: long non-coding RNA, 827 nt
Filed under: Bos taurus (domestic cattle)
Lineage: Eukaryota; Metazoa; Chordata; Mammalia; Artiodactyla; Bovidae
Description: long non-coding RNA NONBTAT010744
Source: RNAcentral